This 484-nucleotide ribosomal RNA is filed under the name uncultured bacterium. RNAcentral's name for it is "partial 16S ribosomal RNA". It matches the Rfam family "Bacterial small subunit ribosomal RNA", at positions 28 to 507 of the family's 1533-position model. The record is from RNAcentral.
AUUGAACGCUGGCGGCAUGCUUUACACAUGCAAGUCGAACGGCAGCGCGGGCUUCUUCCUGGCGGCGAGUGGCGAACGGGCGAGUAAUGCAUCGGAACGUGCCCAGUAGUGGGGGAUAGCCCGGCGAAAGCCGGAUUAAUAUCGCACACGACCUGAGGGUGAAAGCGGGGGAUCGAAAGGCCUCGCGCUAUUUGCGCGGCCGAUGUCGGAUUAGCUAGCUGGUGUGGUAAAGGCUUACCAAGGCGACGAUCCGUAGCUGGUCUGAGUGGCCGACCAGCCACACUGGGACUGGGACACGGCCCAGACUCCUACGGGAGGCAGCAGUGAGGAAAUUUGGAGAAUGGGGGCAACCCUGGUCCAGCCAUGCCGCGUGCGGGGAGAAGGCCUUCGGGUUGGAAACCGCUUUUGUUCGGGAAGAAAUCCUCUGGGCUAAUACCCCGGGGGGAUGACGGUACCGGAAGAAUAAGCACCGGCUAACUACGUG